Rhinopithecus bieti (black snub-nosed monkey) is the source of this 107-nucleotide small nuclear RNA. The record is from Ensembl. Lineage: Eukaryota; Metazoa; Chordata; Mammalia; Primates; Cercopithecidae.
AUGCUCACUUUGGCAACACAUAUACUAAAAUUGAAACGAUACACAGAAGGUUAGCAUGGCCCCUGCGCAAGGAUGACACGCAAGUUUGUGAAGCAUUCCAUAUUUUU